This is a non-coding RNA of Triticum aestivum (bread wheat), 135 nucleotides long. The record is from Rfam. Lineage: Eukaryota; Viridiplantae; Streptophyta; Magnoliopsida; Poales; Poaceae.
AAAGUACUCCCGCCGUCCCAAAAUUCUUGUCUCAGAUUUGUCUAGAUAUGGAUGUAUCAAGUCACAUUUUAGUAUUAGAUAGAUCCGUAUCUAAACAAAUCUAAGACAAGAAAUUUGGGACAGAGGGAGUAGUUG